This 500-nucleotide ribosomal RNA is filed under the name uncultured bacterium. RNAcentral's name for it is "bacterial SSU rRNA". It matches the Rfam family "Bacterial small subunit ribosomal RNA", at positions 105 to 620 of the family's 1533-position model. The record is from RNAcentral.
GGUGAGUAACGCGUGAGCAAUCUGCCUUUAAGAGGGGGAUAACAGUCGGAAACGGCUGCUAAUACCGCAUAAAGCAUUGAAUUCGCAUGUUUUCGAUGCCAAAGGAGCAAUCCGCUUUUAGAUGAGCUCGCGUCUGAUUAGCUAGUUGGCGGGGUAACGGCCCACCAAGGCGACGAUCAGUAGCCGGACUGAGAGGUUGAACGGCCACAUUGGGACUGAGACACGGCCCAGACUCCUACGGGAGGCAGCAGUGGGGAAUAUUGCGCAAUGGGGGAAACCCUGACGCAGCAACGCCGCGUGAUUGAAGAAGGCCUUCGGGUUGUAAAGAUCUUUAAUCAGGGACGAAAAAUGACGGUACCUGAAGAAUAAGCUCCGGCUAACUACGUGCCAGCAGCCGCGGUAAUACGUAGGGAGCAAGCGUUAUCCGGAUUUACUGGGUGUAAAGGGCGCGCAGGCGGGCCGGCAAGUUGGAAGUGAAAUCCGGGGGCUUAACCCCCGAA